UACAGAGGGUGCGAGCGUUGUCCGGAAUCACUGGGCUUAAAGCGUGUGUAGGCGGAUGCCUAAGUACCUUGUGAAAUCCCCCGGCUUAACCGGGGAACUGCUUGGUAUACUGGGUGUCUUGAGCCACUUAGGGGCGACCGGAACAAACGGUGGAGCGGUGAAAUGCGUAGAUAUCGUUUGGAACGCCAAUGGUGAAAACAGGUCGCUGGGAGUGUGCUGACGCUGAGACACGAAAGCCAGGGGAGCGAACGGG
RNAcentral lists this ribosomal RNA (253 nucleotides) under uncultured bacterium. Its description in RNAcentral is "partial 16S ribosomal RNA". It matches the Rfam family "Bacterial small subunit ribosomal RNA", at positions 524 to 776 of the family's 1533-position model. The record is from RNAcentral.